RNAcentral lists this ribosomal RNA (491 nucleotides) under uncultured bacterium. Its description in RNAcentral is "partial 16S ribosomal RNA". It matches the Rfam family "Bacterial small subunit ribosomal RNA", at positions 29 to 507 of the family's 1533-position model. The record is from RNAcentral.
AUUGAACGCUGGCGGCAUGCUUUACACAUGCAAGUCGAACGGUAACAGGCCUUCGGGUGCUGACGAGUGGCGCACGGGUGAGUAAUGCAUCGGAACGUACCCAGAGGUGGGGGAUAACGCAGCGAAAGCUGUGCUAAUACCGCAUGUGAUCUGAGGAUGAAAGCGGGGGACCGAGCAGCAAUGUUUGGCCUCGCGCCUUUGGAGCGGCCGAUGUCGGAUUAGCUAGUUGGUGGGUAAAGGCCUACCAAGGCGACGAUCCGUAGCUGGUCUGAGAGGACGACCAGCCACACUGGGACUGAGACACGGCCCAGACUCCUACGGGAGGCAGCAGUGGGGAAUUUUGGACAAUGGGCGCAAGCCUGAUCCAGCAAUGCCGCGUGCGGGAAGAAGGCCUUCGGGUUGUAAACCGCUUUUGGCAGGAACGAAACGGUGUCCGCUAAUACCGGGCGCUAAUGACGGUACCUGCAGAAUAAGCACCGGCUAACUACGUG